GAAAUAUGAGAUUCAAGAAUGAGCUUCUAACUAUAUUCUUUAACGACGAAACUUCGUUAAUAUUUCU
Molecule: transfer RNA, 67 nt
Filed under: Staphylinoidea sp. 5 KM-2017
Lineage: Eukaryota; Metazoa; Arthropoda; Insecta; Coleoptera
Description: tRNA-Ser
Source: RNAcentral